Molecule: ribosomal RNA, 253 nt
Filed under: uncultured bacterium
Lineage: Bacteria
Description: partial 16S ribosomal RNA
Rfam family: Bacterial small subunit ribosomal RNA
Source: RNAcentral
UACGAAGGGGGCUAGCGUUGCUCGGAAUUACUGGGCGUAAAGGGCGCGUAGGCGGACAGCUUAGUCAGAGGUAAAAGCCCAGGGCUCAACCUUGGAACUGCCUUUGAUACUGGCUGUCUUGAGUUCGGGAGAGGUGAGUGGAAUGCCGAGUGUAGAGGUGAAAUUCGUAGAUAUUCGGAAGAACACCAGUGGCGAAGGCGACUUACUGGACACAUAUUGACGCUGAGGUGCGAAAGCGUGGGGAGCAAACAGG